RNAcentral lists this small nuclear RNA (18 nucleotides) under Arabidopsis thaliana (thale cress). Its description in RNAcentral is "snRNA_06905". Lineage: Eukaryota; Viridiplantae; Streptophyta; Magnoliopsida; Brassicales; Brassicaceae. The record is from RNAcentral.
GCAUCAGGUCUCCAAGGU